RNAcentral lists this non-coding RNA (48 nucleotides) under Schistosoma mansoni. The record is from RNAcentral. Lineage: Eukaryota; Metazoa; Platyhelminthes; Trematoda; Strigeidida; Schistosomatidae.
AUGCAGCUGACGAGUACCAAAUAGGACGAAACGCGCGUCAAGCUGGAU